AAAAGCUUCAAUAUGGCGGACGCCGUGUAACAUAAACAGUGCAAAGAAUGUCAUACAUUUUCGUAAAGUUUUGAAUAGAAUUGGAUUGUUAAAACUAUUUGCGCAUGAGGGUUUUGCAACAUUAAAUUAUUGGACAAAACAGUCAUAUGACUAUAAGAUGAUAACCACACCACCAUCAAGUAGUGCUAUGUAGAUGCUGCGAUGUCAUCAUCAAACAAUUCCCUUACAAGCCAGACCCCCAGGAGCAUGGAGGACCCAGCACCACCCCUGGGUGUGUCAGGGCUAAAUGGAGGGGGUGGGACAGCAUUAACAGGCGGGACACACCCACUGGCGACCAUGGCCAAGCCCCGUUCCACACUAAGUAAGGAAGAAGAAGAGGAAAUUAUGAAAGAAGUGUGCGUGAAUAAUGGAGUCAAGUACGCUAAGAUUUUGACUGCUAGUGAUGAAACAAACCGUGUCCAUCUUCUGGAAAUAUUUUUCGCCGGCUACCCAAAGAUGGUUGGCCUUAACAUGUUUCCGAACUUACGAACACUUGUGAUAAUAAACCAGGCUAGUUUAUCGAGGAUAGAGGGGCUGUCUCACUGUCCAAAGCUGUCGGAGUUGUGGAUUUGUGAAUGUGAUAUCAGCAAAAUCGAGCAGAUGCAGCAUGUGAAACACCUGAAGAAACUCUACUUGUACAGUAACAAGAUUGGUGUCAUUGAGAAUCUAGACGCGCUGACGGAACUCGAGGUCCUCUGGCUUAAUCAUAACGAUAUUGUCAACAUAGAGAACAUUCAGAUGUUGACAAGACUUAAACAGUUGAAUUUAGCAGAAAACAAAAUAGAAAAAAUAGGUCACACAUUAGAUGCCAACCAGAGACUAGAAGAACUCAACCUCUCUGGAAACAGACUCUCGUCUCUCAGGGACUUGACAAACCUGAUGCGGCUUCCCUUCCUAUCCAGCCUGUGCAUGAAGGACCCUCUGUACAGCCCAGCCCCCGUCAGUCUGCUCUGUAACUACGCGACACACGUCCUGUACCAUCUGCCUUCGCUUACCAAGCUAGACACUUACGAUAUCUCUAGUAAAACUAUGACGGAAUUUGCUGAGACGACGGUAUUGAAGAAGAAGAUGUUCUAUAACAUGCGUAUAAGGACGGUGUAUCGUAACCUCGCCCAAGUGAUUGGCAAGAUGCAAGCAUUUCAGCAACAGAUUGUCGACUUCCCACACGAGAGGCUACGAGCCCUCAUUAAUGUUAUGAAAGAGAUAGAGUGUAUAGACGAGAGCCCGGGGCUGGCACAAAGAGAGGAGCCCACAGAUGAUAGCCCAAGCCCGGGCCCGGACAAAACACAGGUGCAAUCUGAGUUGAACCUACAGAAGCUUAGUGCUCAUCCAAACUAUAGCUCCAAACUGGAUGCAAUGAAGGAACGAGUGAAAAAAUGGGAAAGGAAGUGUUCAGAGAUAGAGGCAUUUUACGCUGAGACGGUGACUCGGUUUCGUGACUCGGCCCAUACUCUAGUCAACAGGAUGGUUGUGGAGUUAGAAUCAGGGGGAAAUGUGAGGUUUGAAGAGGGCUCACCCUCUGACUUGUGGUUCACAUCCUGCCAUGACCUGGUGUUGUCACGGUUUUGUGCAGCGGACUAUCGUGAACAUGGCAUUGUGGCAAUCAAGGUGCGGCGUAUCAUCCGCCUACAUAAUCGAACACUGCGGUCACGCUUUGAUAAUAAACUUGUAUCAAUUGUGGACAACCCAGAAGGGGAAUACUUCAUCUCAAAUAGAAAUGUUGGUUACAAGAAGCUACUUGAGUACCUGUUCUGGAUGUGGGACCCCUCGCUACCAGGUGGGACCAACGAGCCUGAAAGGAUACUGGAGGAAGGCUUCAUGGAUGCGGAGAACUAUACGGACUUAAGCCGAGAUGGUGCAGUGCCGUUAAGCAACAGUCUGAGUUUAGCGGACAGACACCGGAUAAACCACCUCAUGAACAAAAACAGAGGCAAGGAGGUCCAAGAGUUCUGCCCCUUUAAAUAUGGCCAGUUAGUGAUUUCAAAGGUGUAUCUUGGGAAAAAUGCCAAAGCCCUGGAUGAUAAAAUAAUUCAGCAGUCAUCAUAUCCAAAGUUAGACUCUGUGUUCAGGCCGAGGAAAAUGUGUGUUAACCAUGAUAAAAAUAAAUUAAACCUCGACAAUUCGUCAUGUGAGUGCAGCUCUCGGCAGUGUGAAUGGUACAUCUUCGAUAACGAGCUCGUUCUGCCCGAGUACAUUGUCGAGUUUGAAUAUGUCACCAAGAUGAGACCAAAAUCUCCGUUUGCUCAAUUUAACGAAGUGUUACUGGACAACAAGGAUAGCAACUACCCGAGCCUGCCCCUCCAGGAAGAGGAUAAACAAGUGGACAGCGAUGUCCUGAAUAUGGAGCCCCAGCCCAAACAAAGACCUAGAUUAGUAGCAGUAACAGAUGAACUUUUGUUGAAAAUCACCAUGGAAAAAGAGUUUGAGCAUAUAACCACCCUGAAUCUCCAUGGCAAUGGGUUGACCCGCUUGAAGCCUCUCCAGCCCCUAAAGUCCCUUAAACGCCUGGUUGUCAGCUUCAAUGAGCUCUCCAAGCUAGAUGAGCUCGCUCACAUGGGCUUGGAACAACUUGAUGCUAGUUUCAACAAAAUCGUAACUUUAGAAGGACUUAAGGGCCUACACAAACUUCGUCAGCUGGAUAUCAGCUGGAACAAGCUGACCCAUACGAAAGACGAGCUCUCCAUUCUCCGUAAACACAUGCCCAACAUUACGGCACUAGAUGUUCGCAAUAACCCAUGGCAGAAGGCUGACAGUUUGCGGCUACGUAUAAUCGGUAGAUUAAAAUUAUUGAAUCUUCUCAAUGGUGCAACAGUGACAGAAUCAGAAUCUUCUGCUGCACUGCGCAUUGCCGCAGGAUCUCGUAUUUCCCAGGUUUCAUUGCUCACAUUUUCCCGCACCGAUCAGUCCCGUCCCCGGUCACUGAGUCUUCUGUCAACGGCGCAGGUCCUGUGUACAACCAGCAGACACAAGCCAGAGAAAUUGAGCGACCAUGAUACACACUGGUAUUCAAAGAUUACUUCCCUGAAUCUGGACAAUCAACACAUCACAAAGCUGUCCAACUUGGAAAAACUGGAACAUCUGAAAUAUGCGUCCUUCAACAAUAAUGACAUCACUAAAAUAGAGGGUUUAGACCACUGCCAGAAACUUGAAGAACUCUCCAUCGAAAACAACUGUAUCUGUAAAUUAGAUGGCAUCUCAAAACUAACACACCUACGCCGCCUAAGUCUCUGCCAGAACUACAUCACCUCGCUUGAGUUCUCCAGUCUCCAAAACCUCGUACAUCUACACUAUCUUGCCCUCGACAAUAAUCAGCUUACCUCGCUGAAUGGGCUUCAGAAUUGCACCCCUCUGAUGGAGGUCUACAUCGGCAAUAACCAGAUCACGAAUAUCAGAGACGUGUUCCAUUUGAAGAGUUUGACGAACCUGGUGAUUCUUGACAUGUUUGGAAACCCUGUUGCCGUGGACAACGACAACUACCGUCUGUUUGUCAUUUACCAUCUCCGAACACUCAAGGCCCUUGAUGGCUCGGCAAUUGACACCUCAGAGGGGAAUAAUGCCAAGGAUAUGUUUGGAGGACGGUUGACUCCAGACUUUGUGGCUGAAAAACUAGGUCAUUCAAACUUCUUGGAUGUUAGAGAAAUGGACUUGCCCUCCAGCGGUAUCCGGAUAGUGGACUUAGGGGCAGCUGAUGUGUUUCUAAAUCUGCGGAGUGUGAACCUGGAGCAUAACAACCUCACCUCGUUCAGCGGACUCAUCAACCUCCCAAACCUCAGGGUGCUGUGCUUAAACCACAAUCGUAUAGAGUGUGUAAUGCCAAAACAGAAGCAAACAUCGAAAACGAAGACGGGACUCACUUCCAACCCCUCGUCUUUCAAGAACGCUGCGGAUCUCUUUAACCAGGACACAAACCUCGCUCCAGUUCUUGAAAACUUGGAGGUGCUUCAUCUUGGUUAUAACGGUAUCAAGGAUAUGGGAGCUCUUCAGUUGAGCCGACUGACUGGAUUGAAAGCGCUGUUCCUUCAAGGUAACGAAAUCCAGAAAGUCGAAGGCAUGGAGCAUCUGCAUGAUUUACGUGAGCUGGUAUUGGACCGCAACAAGAUCAAGAGCGUGUGUGAGAUGUCAUUCAUCAACCAAUGGAAUCUUCAGGAACUGCAUAUGGAGGAGAACCGUCUGAGGGAGUUGGCAAACUUUAACUGUCUGGAGAAUUUACAGAGGCUGUAUCUGGGGUCUAACAGAAUUCAGGAAGUCGGAGAGUUAGAAAACCUUGAUGGUCUACAAAGCCUCAUUGAGAUAUCCGUCGUUAAUAACCCGGCAUGGUGUUUUGCAAGAGCUGCACGACGCCAUCUACAUCGCCCGCUGCUCGUCUAUCGCCUGAAGAAUCUGCUGGUAAUCGACGGAAUUCCCGUAACAGAGGAAGAACGUGCGAAGGCGGAACUCUACUUUAUGGACCAGCAGGAAUUAGAUUUCAUACGGAAGGAUACCAUAUACCAUUUGUCUCCAACUCCUGAUUCGAUCAGCCCAGCAUUGGGGGCCAAGGGGCGGCAGAUGGUUCCUUACCAGGGAUCGGGCAGUACAAGGCACAAAUCCCGGUCAAGGUCACCAACAUGCAGCUGGCCACAUCCCCUCUCUGGAAUGGAAGUAUCUUCUAUGACGAGGCAACUGCCCAAGAUAACGCUCAGAGAGGUGGUGGUCGAAGGAGAGGUGGAAAACAAGCGAAUGGAGAAAGUGGAAUGCCAGCGCCACUCGGACGAACGAACACCAUGUACCAACAGCCCAGUGGGGGAACAGGGUACGGAGGCUUCACGUACACAAACAGCGGAAACAGGGCACAAUUCUAUCUGAACCAAAUCCCUUAUGUGGCUUCUCAGUCUUCGCAAACUGCCGAGUAUGUUGAGUGGUUGACAAGUGCAAGGAAAAUGUUGAGAAUGAAUAAUAGCAGGAACAACAGAAAAUGAUUCCUGUGACUAAUGGUGCUUACUUCACUGUCAACUCAACAGAUAUAGGAGGGGAAUCCUGCAGUGUUGACCAAGGUCUACAUGAAAAGUCUUUUGACAUUAAAAAUACUUGUUGAAUGAUGUUGGCAUUUUACACUACUUGUAAAAUGGCGUGGUUACAAUCUUUGCAUGUUACACUACUUUUAAAAUGGCAUGGUUACAAUGUAACCUGGGGCAGUGAUUACAAACUUCAUUUCUUUGUACUAUUUCUUCUGUCAAAGCAUUUAUGUUGAAAUUUGUUGAAAUAUAUUACUAUGUGAAUGUUUUACUAUAUUGUAACAUAAUUUUUUGUAAUAGAAAUGGAAUAAAUAUUACGUUUAGUUCCUUAAAAAAAGUCCUUUUCUGAGUCUGGGUCAAGACUUGGACUUGAGACUGUUCGUAAUCAUAGCCCCUGGCAUUUUACACUAAGUUACAAACUUACAUAGUUGAAAUCUUGGCAUUGAACACUGCUUAUAAAAUCACAUGGUUAUAAUGUAACUUGGCAUUUUACACAACUUGUAAGAUCACAUGAAACAAGCUUAGCAAUUCACACUACUUGUAAAAUGGUGUUACAAAUGUAACAUGGCAUUUUACACUACUUCUAAACUUACAUGGUUACAGUCUUGGCAUUUUACACUACUUGUUAAAUCGCACAGUUAAAAUACUGGCAUUUAACACAUCUUGUAAAAGCACAUGGAAACAAUUUUGGCAUUUUACACUCAAUUUGUAAAACGGUCUGGUUACAAUGUAAAUUGGCAUUUUACUCUAUUUAUAAACUUAAUGGUUGAAAUCUUGGCAUUUAUAACACUACUUGUAAAAUGACAUGGUUACAAUCUUGGCAUUUUACACUACUUGUAAAAUAGACAGGUUACAAUGUAACUUGGCAAUUUACACUUAAUAAAAUAAUAGAUAUGUAAAAAGUUACUUCCUUUGUGGCUUGUUUACAUUUAGUAAGAUGUUUCUGUGAUAAGCUUGCACAGUUGUUCAGAGUGUAUCAUUAUUUAUAGUUUGUUAAGGAUGUUUCAGAUAAUAUUCCGUCCAUCAAAUAAGCAUUCUCAUUUAACAUUCCUUAAAACAGAUUUAUUUUACCCAUGUUAAACUAUGCAUAAAACUGUUAAACCAUGUUAAACUAUGUACAUACUGCUAAACCUGUAUAUACUGUAGUGAAAUUUGCUAUUAAUUUCAUUGUAUAUUACAGACACUAUUUUUAUGUGUAUGCCAAAGUAUUAAAAUUGUGAUGUAAUAUUUAAUUGUUCCAGAGCAUUCACAAAACUGAGCCAAAAUCUAAACUAAAAGCACUAUUACUUUAAGUAUUCUUAAAAGUAUGUGAUAUUUUUUAAAUAUUUUGUUGUUUUUCCAUGUGCAAGAACAGGAGUAGCAACACAUCAUUUGCAUAAUUUUAGUUUUAAGAAAUCUGACCCACAAAUAUGUGAAUUUGAGAUGCCUGGUGGCCCCAUAUUAUAUCAGUACCAUUUGAAAUGAUUUUGAAAAAGUUUAAACGUAAAACUCUUAACAAUAAUUUUAUAACAAAAAAGGUUUUUUCACCUUUAAAGAUUACAAAAUAUGUCAGUUUAUGUCCAAUAUCAGUUUAAUUUAAGAGCACAUAAUUAUGAACACUAAUAAAUACUGUAUGAUAGGUUAAAUGAGGUACCGGAGAAUUAGUUUAUUUGUUGGGUCAGGAUUCGCUCACAGAUGUUUUUAACCUUUUGCUGCAAUUGACUUAUUUUACGUUGUUUUUUUAAUUUAACGUAUGUUUGAAAUUGACUUAUUUUAUGUUUAAUUUUUAAAAACACCAAACAGUACCUAGCAGAUACGCUUUGAACAGAAUUUUGUAAAUUGAGGCAUAAAACAAAUAAUUUUUUAAAAGUAUUACUAAUGCAUUUUUGCAAAAUAGAGCAAUCAGCAUUUCUGUCACAUUUCGAAAAUGAUAAUUAUUAAUAACGUCAAUGAGAGCUCUUAUUUGAACUUAUUGUGGCGUUUAAUCAGUGAAGCAGGCGUUUUGUUCCAAUUUCACACAAAAUAUGUUUUUUUUUUAUAUCUGACCUUUUAAUAUGUGAUUAAGUCCCUUAAGGACAGAACAAUCAGUGUGAUAUUUUGUUUUGUUUUUUAUUUUACCUAUAUUUAAGACAUAUUUAAAUUAAAGAAAAAUACUAUUAGUAUCACACCAAUAUUUUCAAAUACUAUUGCAUUUAUGGACAAUGACAGAAUGUUUGUGAUAUAAAUGCAGGAUUUGUGUACAUGUAUAACAGGGUGUGGUGCCCGGGGUAUUAAGCAUUAGUUUCUUGCCCAUUUUAGUUGUUGUUGGUUUCAAAGAAACUGCUGAUAUGUCCCGUAUUUGUCAUUAGUUGGUAUCGAUUGUUGGUAUUGAUUGCUGGAAUUGGAAACUUAUUGUUUUACAGUUUUUAAAGGUCUGGCAUUAUAGUUUGACCCCUUGCAUUGGAAAAUGUUAGCCAUGGUAUAUUUGAGACAGGGCCCACAUUCACUUACAACUUACGUCUGAGUUUCAGACUCAGACCAGGCAGUUCUUAUAUUUUGAUACCUUUAUAACUUUCAUAUAACUGUUGCAUUACAAAAAGAUGUAAAUAACUAUAAAAAUUGCUACUUGUUAAUCAUCAUGAUGGUCAAAAUCGGUCCAGACCGGCAAAUUGCCGUUUUUUAGAAGCCGUGAUGAAAACCUUGGUAUUAUCAGCAUUGCAAUCCUUGUAGUACAAAAUCUUGAACCAGUUGGCCAUUAUCCCAAAUUGGCCAUUAUUCCAGUUGGCCAUUAUUCCAAGUUGGCCAUUAUCUGAUCUGAAAAUCAAAGCACUCUUGUUAUCAAUUUCACUCUUCUUAUAGCAAAUAAUUUUUCACUUUUGAGGCUUACUGAAUAUUAGCUCUAAGGUUGAGAGUCUAUGUGUAACCAUGUAAAUGAUUAAUAUGUCUGUUUCAUGUUAAGAAAUUAACAUUUAUGACACAUGGAAAUGAAUAUGGUGCAAAUAUUUUUAUUCUUGGAUAUGUAUUGAAAUUACUGUUUUAUAAUGAGACGUUUGUUUCAACUCUGUUAGGCUUUUAAAUAAAAGUGUUUGUUUCUGAAGUACUGAUAAGCCCUUUCUUCCCACACCUCACUGACCCUUAUUUUAUUUUUGCCUAGAGACUUUUAUUUUUUCUUAUUGUGAGUAUUGGUGUUUUUUUUUUACUUGAGAAAGACGCCAUAAUUCAAGUAAACUCAUACCGUAUGGGGCUGUUUUGAAGUGUGACAAAACAUACGAAAUAUCUUAUAAAAAUAAAUCCCAACCUAUCUACCCUAUUCGUUGGGUGCAGUGAAAUUAGAAACAAACAUUUUUUUUAUUUGGCCUUUAUAUGAUUAUUAUAUGUUCAUUUAUCCUAAAUUCCGUCCAUUGUUAGAUAUGUAUAUUAAUGAAGUUAUUAUAUUUAUAAUAUACAUGUUUUAAUGUAAAGUUUAUGUGCAAAUCACAAUGUUUUAUAUCUUGAAUAGAGAAAAUAAAAUCAC
Molecule: RNA transcript, 8502 nt
Organism: Mya arenaria
Lineage: Eukaryota; Metazoa; Mollusca; Bivalvia; Myida; Myidae
Gene name: leucine-rich repeat-containing protein 9-like
Exons: 39
Source: RefSeq, a predicted model, not a curated record